Molecule: ribosomal RNA, 459 nt
Filed under: uncultured bacterium
Lineage: Bacteria
Description: partial 16S ribosomal RNA
Rfam family: Bacterial small subunit ribosomal RNA
Source: RNAcentral
CCUACGGGAGGCAGCAGUGAGGAAUAUUGGUCAAUGGCCGGAAGGCUGAACCAGCCAAGCCGCGUGAGGGAGGAAGGCGCAGAGCGUCGCAGACCUCUUUUGCCGGGGGACAAAAGGCCGGACUCGUCCGGUCCUGAGGGUACCCGGAGAAAAAGCAUCGGCUAACUCCGUGCCAGCAGCCGCGGUAAUACGGAGGAUGCGAGCGUUAUCCGGAUUCAUUGUGUUUAACGGGUGCGCAGGGGGGCCUUUAAGCCGGCGGUGAAAUCGCGGGGCUCAACCCCGCCGAGCCGUCGGAACUGGGGGCCUUGAGUGCGGCGGAGGAAUGCGGAAUGCGAGGUGUAGCGGUGAAAUGCAUAGAUAUCGCGCAGAACCCCGAUUGCGAAGGCAGCGGGCCGUGCCGCCACUGACGCUGAGGCACGAAAGCGCGGGGAUCGAACAGGAUUAGAUACCCCAGUAGUC